UAGGGAAUCUUCCACAAUGGACGCAAGUCUGAUGGAGCAACGCCGCGUGAGUGAAGAAGGGUUUCGGCUCGUAAAGCUCUGUUGGUAGUGAAGAAAGAUAGAGGUAGUAACUGGCCUUUAUUUGACGGUAAUUACCUAGAAAGUCACGGCUAACUACGUGCCAGCAGCCGCGGUAAUACGUAGGUGGCAAGCGUUGUCCGGAUUUAUUGGGCGUAAAGCGAGUGCAGGCGGUUCAAUAAGUCUGAUGUGAAAGCCUUCGGCUCAACCGGAGAAUUGCAUCAGAAACUGUUGAACUUGAGUGCAGAAGAGGAGAGUGGAACUCCAUGUGUAGCGGUGGAAUGCGUAGAUAUAUGGAAGAACACCAGUGGCGAAGGCGGCUCUCUGGUCUGCAACUGACGCUGAGGCUCGAAAGCAUGGGUAGCGAACAGG
This 429-nucleotide ribosomal RNA is filed under the name uncultured bacterium. Its description in RNAcentral is "bacterial SSU rRNA". It matches the Rfam family "Bacterial small subunit ribosomal RNA", at positions 355 to 776 of the family's 1533-position model. The record is from RNAcentral.